GAGAACCUGGGGACGCUAGGUUCCGGAACCUGACCUGAGCUGGGGCCUGUGCUUCCAGCGGGUGGUGGGGGGCCUGGUGUGCUGGCAUCAAGUAAGCGGACUACCUCGGCAAAGGCUUAGGGACAAGAGACUGGCAGCCUGAACUGGCUGGGGCAUCCGGAAGGCUUAGAUCUUGUGGCCAAGGGUUCAGACCGUGGCGAAGUGGAGAGUGACAUGCAGUUGGAUGGCGGUGACUGCGUGGUCCUGCAACCCUGGUUCCAGUCUGGCAAGCAUUCUAGACCUGGCUGCUGAAGACUGACGGGGCCCAGGGUCCGCUGCCCCCACCGCCAUCACCACCUCGGAACCCAGGGUAACGCUGUCAGUCUCUGAUGACAUCAGAAGUGGGAUCCAAAGUAGAGCUUAUAAUGACACCCAGGAGUGCUGAGUGACCAAGCAAGGUACCCACCAGGCCGAUUAUGUCCAUUGUUCUCUUGGAGCAGCUGGUCAUCAUGGGAAAGAGUGCCACACUGGGAAUGCAAGCUGUCCUUGCUUCUGAACCAAGACUACUAUUGUGC
This 554-nucleotide small RNA is filed under the name Pongo abelii (Sumatran orangutan). RNAcentral's name for it is "sense overlapping". The record is from RNAcentral. Lineage: Eukaryota; Metazoa; Chordata; Mammalia; Primates; Hominidae.